RNAcentral lists this ribosomal RNA (271 nucleotides) under Klebsiella aerogenes. RNAcentral describes it as "partial 23S ribosomal RNA". It matches the Rfam family "Bacterial large subunit ribosomal RNA", at positions 1 to 272 of the family's 2925-position model. The record is from RNAcentral. RNAcentral also lists the same sequence under 8 other names. Lineage: Bacteria; Pseudomonadati; Pseudomonadota; Gammaproteobacteria; Enterobacterales; Enterobacteriaceae.
GGUUAAGCGACUAAGCGUACACGGUGGAUGCCCUGGCAGUCAGAGGCGAUGAAGGACGUGCUAAUCUGCGAAAAGCGUCGGUAAGGUGAUAUGAACCGUUACAGCCGGCGAUGUCCGAAUGGGGAAACCCAGUGCAAUUCGUUGCACUAUCGUUAACUGAAUACAUAGGUUAACGAGGCGAACCGGGGGAACUGAAACAUCUAAGUACCCCGAGGAAAAGAAAUCAACCGAGAUUCCCCCAGUAGCGGCGAGCGAACGGGGAGCAGCCCAG